Molecule: transfer RNA, 66 nt
Filed under: Cherax setosus
Lineage: Eukaryota; Metazoa; Arthropoda; Malacostraca; Decapoda; Parastacidae
Description: tRNA-Tyr
Rfam family: tRNA
About the family: Transfer RNA (tRNA) molecules are approximately 80 nucleotides in length.
Source: RNAcentral
AAUAAGGUGGCUGAGAUUAAGGCGUUAGAUUGUAAAUCUAAACAUGGGCGAAGAGCUUUCUUAUUA